RNAcentral lists this ribosomal RNA (251 nucleotides) under Escherichia coli. Its description in RNAcentral is "partial 23S ribosomal RNA". It matches the Rfam family "Bacterial large subunit ribosomal RNA", at positions 2697 to 2925 of the family's 2925-position model. Lineage: Bacteria; Pseudomonadati; Pseudomonadota; Gammaproteobacteria; Enterobacterales; Enterobacteriaceae. The record is from RNAcentral.
GUGGACGCAUCACUGGUGUUCGGGUUGUCAUGCCAAUGGCACUGCCCGGUAGCUAAAUGCGGAAGAGAUAAGUGCUGAAAGCAUCUAAGCACGAAACUUGCCCCGAGAUGAGUUCUCCCUGACUCCUUGAGAGUCCUGAAGGAACGUUGAAGACGACGACGUUGAUAGGCCGGGUGUGUAAGCGCAGCGAUGCGUUGAGCUAACCGGUACUAAUGAACCGUGAGGCUUAACCUUACAACGCCGAAGRUGUU